CUACCCUGUAUCAACUCCCGCGCAGCCCGCCGGUGGUACACUAAACUCUUGUUUUAUUUUAUAUUCUGAGCGUAUUAUUUUAAUAAUUAAAACUUUCAACAACGGAUCUCUUGGUUCUGGCAUCGAUGAAGAACGCAGCGAAAUGCGAUAAGUAAUGUGAAUUGCAGAAUUCAGUGAAUCAUCGAAUCUUUGAACGCACAUUGCGCCCAUCAGUAUUCUGGUGGGCAU
This 228-nucleotide ribosomal RNA is filed under the name Arthrinium phaeospermum. Its description in RNAcentral is "5.8S ribosomal RNA". The stretch from base 91 to 228 matches the Rfam family "5.8S ribosomal RNA", at positions 1 to 138 of the family's 154-position model. From Rfam's summary of the family: 5.8S ribosomal RNA (5.8S rRNA) is a component of the large subunit of the eukaryotic ribosome. It is transcribed by RNA polymerase I as part of the 45S precursor that also contains 18S and 28S rRNA. Functionally, it is thought that 5.8S rRNA may be involved in ribosome translocation. Lineage: Eukaryota; Fungi; Ascomycota; Sordariomycetes; Amphisphaeriales; Apiosporaceae. The record is from RNAcentral.